AUCCAGCUGACGAGUCCCAAAUACGACGAAAUGCGCAUCCUGGAU
RNAcentral lists this non-coding RNA (45 nucleotides) under Trichobilharzia regenti. The record is from RNAcentral. Lineage: Eukaryota; Metazoa; Platyhelminthes; Trematoda; Strigeidida; Schistosomatidae.